GGUCUUGUGGUUUAAUGGUUAUAACGAUGGAUUCUGAGUCUUUCUUAGAAUAUCUACUUCCAUAAAUCCCGGUUCGAUUCCGGGCAGGACCU
This 92-nucleotide transfer RNA is filed under the name Penicillium steckii. It matches the Rfam family "tRNA". From Rfam's summary of the family: Transfer RNA (tRNA) molecules are approximately 80 nucleotides in length. Their secondary structure includes four short double-helical elements and three loops (D, anti-codon, and T loops). Further hydrogen bonds mediate the characteristic L-shaped molecular structure. tRNAs have two regions of fundamental functional importance: the anti-codon, which is responsible for specific mRNA codon recognition, and the 3' end, to which the tRNAs corresponding amino acid is attached (by aminoacyl-tRNA synthetases). tRNAs cope with the degeneracy of the genetic code in two manners: having more than one tRNA (with a specific anti-codon) for a particular amino acid; and 'wobble' base-pairing, i.e. permitting non-standard base-pairing at the 3rd anti-codon position. Lineage: Eukaryota; Fungi; Ascomycota; Eurotiomycetes; Eurotiales; Aspergillaceae. The record is from Rfam by way of RNAcentral.